UACAAUGUUUUGACUCUUCGUCUUAUUUGAAAAUUUUCCAGAUUAAUAUUUUUAUUCUUAUUAUACAAUAAAAUAUGAAUAGUAAUCAUGCGUGACUGAUUUUUUUAAAUUUUUAUAUAAAUUUUUUAAAUAAGACGAAUGGUCAAAUGUUAGACACGGAAAAACA
Molecule: microRNA precursor, 166 nt
Filed under: Oryza brachyantha (malo sina)
Lineage: Eukaryota; Viridiplantae; Streptophyta; Magnoliopsida; Poales; Poaceae
Description: MIR812 microRNA precursor family
Rfam family: MIR812 microRNA precursor family
Source: Rfam by way of RNAcentral